RNAcentral lists this unclassified non-coding RNA (333 nucleotides) under Hevea brasiliensis (rubber tree). The record is from RNAcentral. Lineage: Eukaryota; Viridiplantae; Streptophyta; Magnoliopsida; Malpighiales; Euphorbiaceae.
AUGCAAAUGCAAAUUAAAGGACCUAACAAGAAUGCAGAGCUAUAAAGACCCUCCAACCUUAUUAUUUAUCGCAAAUAAACCACAAAUUCAAUCCAAAAGAAAUGAAAGAAAAUGCAAAGAAAUGAAAGGAAAACUAUUGACGGUCCUUUAAAAAAACAGGAUUUUUGCAUUAAAGAUAAUAAAAUUAAAAUCCCAGAAAUAUUUUGCAUAGAUAUCAAAAUGGGUAACACGAAAUCAUGGAUUUAUUAAACAAAACUACAAAAUAAAAAGUGUCAAUAAUAGAUAAAAGCACAACGAAAUAUGAAACCAGACCUGGGUUUUGAUGAUUCUGAG